This 876-nucleotide ribosomal RNA is filed under the name uncultured archaeon. RNAcentral's name for it is "bacterial SSU rRNA". It matches the Rfam family "Archaeal small subunit ribosomal RNA", at positions 21 to 903 of the family's 1478-position model. The record is from RNAcentral.
CCUGACUGCUAUCGGAUUGAUACUAAGCCAUGCGAGUCUUUGUAGUAAUACAAGGCAGACGGCUCAGUAACACGUAGUCAACCUACCCUAUGGACAAGAAUAAUCUCGGGAAACUGGGCAUAAUUCUUGAUAGAUCAUAAUGCCUGGAAUGGUUUAUGGUUAAAAUGAUUCGUCGCCAUAGGAUGGGACUGCGGCCUAUCAGCUUGUUGGUGAGGUAAUGGCCCACCAAGGCGAUUACAGGUACGGGCUCUGAGAGGAGAAGCCCGGAGAUGGGUACUGAGACACGGACCCAGGCCCUAUGGGGCGCAGCAGGCGAGAAAACUUUGCAAUGUGCGAAAGCACGACAAGGUUAAUCCGAGUGAUUUCUGCUAAAGAAAUCUUUUGCCAGUCAUAAAACCACUGGUGAAUAAGGGGUGGGCAAGUUCUGGUGUCAGCCGCCGCGGUAAAACCAGCACCUCAAGUGGUCAGGAUGAUUAUUGGGCCUAAAGCAUCCGUAGCCGGCUUUGUAAGUUUUCGGUUAAAUCCAUGUGCUCAACGCAUGGGCUGCCGAAAAUACUGCAUGGCUAGGGAGUGGGAGAGGUAGACGGUACUCAGUAGGAAGGGGUAAAAUCCUUUGAUCUAUUGAUGACCACCUGUGGCGAAGGCGGUCUACCAGAACACGUUCGACGGUGAGGGAUGAAAGCUGGGGGAGCAAACCGGAUUAGAUACCCGGGUAGUCCCAGCUGUAAACGAUGCAGACUCGAUGAUGCAUUGGCAUAAUAGCCAGUGCAGUGUCGCAGGGAAGCCGUUAAGUCUGCCGCCUGGGAAGUACGUACGCAAGUAUGAAACUUAAAGGAAUUGGCGGGGGAGCACCACAAGGGGUGAAGCCUGCGGUUC